Molecule: ribosomal RNA, 1489 nt
Filed under: uncultured bacterium
Lineage: Bacteria
Description: 16S ribosomal RNA
Rfam family: Bacterial small subunit ribosomal RNA
Source: RNAcentral
UGGCUCAGGAUGAACGCUAGCGACAGGCCUAACACAUGCAAGUCGAGGGGCAUCGGGGCGAGGAGCAAUCCUUGCCGCCGGCGACCGGCGCACGGGUGAGUAACGCGUAUGCGACCUGCCCGUUGCAGGGGGAUAAUCGGGAGAAAUCCCGUCUAAUACCGCGUAAUGCCGCGGGGCUGCAUGGCCCUGCGGCCAAAGGGAGCGAUUCCGGCAACGGAUGGGCAUGCGUGACAUUAGCUAGUUGGCGGGGCAACGGCCCACCAAGGCGACGAUGUCUAGGGGUUCUGAGAGGAAGGUCCCCCACACUGGUACUGAGACACGGACCAGACUCCUACGGGAGGCAGCAGUGAGGAAUAUUGGUCAAUGGGCGCGAGCCUGAACCAGCCAAGUCGCGUGAGGGAUGACGGCCCUACGGGUUGUAAACCUCUUUUGUCGGGGAGCAAAUUCCGCCACGUGUGGCGGAGUCGAGAGUACCCGAAGAAAAAGCAUCGGCUAACUCCGUGCCAGCAGCCGCGGUAAUACGGAGGAUGCGAGCGUUAUCCGGAUUUAUUGGGUUUAAAGGGUGCGUAGGCGGACUGUCAAGUCAGCGGUAAAAUACGGGGGCUCAACCUCCGCCCGCCGUUGAAACUGACGGUCUUGAGUGGGCGAGAAGUAUGCGGAAUGCGUGGUGUAGCGGUGAAAUGCAUAGAUAUCACGCAGAACUCCGAUUGCGAAGGCAGCAUACCGGCGCCCGACUGACGCUGAAGCACGAAAGCGUGGGUAUCGAACAGGAUUAGAUACCCUGGUAGUCCACGCAGUAAACGAUGAAUACUAGCUGUCCGGGGCGAAUGAGCCCUGGGUGGCACAGCGAAAGCGUUAAGUAUUCCACCUGGGGAGUACGCCGGCAACGGUGAAACUCAAAGGAAUUGACGGGGGCCCGCACAAGCGGAGGAACAUGUGGUUUAAUUCGAUGAUACGCGAGGAACCUUACCCGGGCUCAAACGACACAGGAACGUACCUGAAAGGGUUCGGCUCUACGGAGCCUGUGUCGAGGUGCUGCAUGGUUGUCGUCAGCUCGUGCCGUGAGGUGUCGGCUUAAGUGCCAUAACGAGCGCAACCCCCAUCGACAGUUGCUAACAGGUCAGGCUGAGGACUCUGUCGAGACUGCCGGCGCAAGCUGCGAGGAAGGCGGGGAUGACGUCAAAUCAGCACGGCCCUUACGUCCGGGGCGACACACGUGUUACAAUGGCAGGUACAGCGGGAAGCCACCUGGCGACAGGGAGCGGAACCCGAAAGCCUGUCUCAGUUCGGAUUGGAGUCUGCGACCCGACUCCAUGAAGCUGGAUUCGCUAGUAAUCGCGCAUCAGCCACGGCGCGGUGAAUACGUUCCCGGGCCUUGUACACACCGCCCGUCAAGCCAUGGAAGCCGGGGGUGCCUGAAGUGCGCUGCCGCGAGGAGCGCCCUAGGGUAAAACCGGUGACUGGGGCUAAGUCGUAACAAGGUAGCCGU